This 396-nucleotide long non-coding RNA is filed under the name Nicotiana tabacum (common tobacco). RNAcentral's name for it is "long non-coding RNA (NTAB_LNC017206)". Lineage: Eukaryota; Viridiplantae; Streptophyta; Magnoliopsida; Solanales; Solanaceae. The record is from RNAcentral.
CCUGCCAAUUCACCUUGUACACAAGGCGCGACUUGGAGGCCCGGUUCAAUGCAGGUGGAUGUAUCCAUUCGAGAGGUAAUGAUCAAACCUUUAUUUAUUCUUGUAAUUUUCUUUAACGUUAUCGUCUAAUAUGACAAUGUACAGGACUAUUGGCAAGUGUAAACGAUUUGUUAAACAGAGGAAUAGGAUUGAAGGAUCCAUAUGCGAAGCCUAUCUUGCAAAGGAAACUGCCCAUUUUUAUUCUUACUACUUUGACAGUCAUGUGCCAUGUGCUAGAAAUAGGCCCAAUCGAUACAAUGUGGUAAUUGAGAUUGAUCCAUUAUAUCCACCAAUGUCCAUAUUCAAUCAACCAGGCCGAGGUUCUAAAGAUCGAGCACAAAGGGGCCUAACUAGUAU